This 394-nucleotide ribosomal RNA is filed under the name uncultured bacterium. RNAcentral's name for it is "partial 16S ribosomal RNA". It matches the Rfam family "Bacterial small subunit ribosomal RNA", at positions 338 to 729 of the family's 1533-position model. The record is from RNAcentral.
CCUACGGGAGGCAGCAGUGAGGAAUAUUGGUCAAUGGACGAGAGUCUGAACCAGCCAAGUAGCGUGAAGGAUGACUGCCCUAUGGGUUGUAAACUUCUUUUAUAUGGGACUAAAAUGUUCCACGUGUGGGAUUCUGUAUGUACCAUAUGAAUAAGGAUCGGCUAACUCCGGGCCAGCAGCCGCGGUAAUACGGAGGAUCCGAGCGUUAUCCGGAUUUAUUGGGUUUAAAGGUGGCGUAGGUGGGUUGUUAAGUCAGUUGUGAAAGUUUGCGGCUCAAGGGUAAAAUUGCAGUUGAAACUGGCAGUCUUGAGUGCAGUAGAGGUGGGCGGAAGUCGUGGUGUAGCGGUGAAAUGCUUAGAUAUCACGAAGAACACCGAUUGCGAAGGCAGCUCAC